UGUCCCUCCAUCCACAAGUUAAGUCAUCAGUGAGGUUUGUUUUGGUGAGAUAAACAGUCGCAACUCGCGAUCUAAACAAAUAAAAAAAAAACAAUGGCAUCGCUUGUUAUUACUCUAGAAGAAGGUCAAAUUAGAGGCAAGAAAGAUGAAGAUUAUUUGGGUAAAACCUAUUAUAGUUUUUUGGGUGUUCCCUACGCUAAAGCUCCUAUUGGAGAAUUGAGGUUUAAGGCCCCUGUGGCGGUAGAAUCCUGGAAUGGCAUUUUGGACGCCACAAAAGAAGGACCAGCAUGUCCCUCACGUCAUAUGAUAUUUACCAAUUAUAUGGGGUGUGAAGAUAAUUGCCUAAACCUAAAUGUAUUCACACCACAAUUACCUAACGAUAACAAUUCUGGAUCACUUAAACCAGUCAUGGUUUGGAUUCAUGGGGGUGGUUUUUUAAUGGGUUCAAAUCAGAAAGAAUUAUACGGGCCUGAUUAUCUGAUAACUGAAGAUACUGAAGAACAAGUACAAUUACUUGUUGCAAUUAAUUACCGAUUAGGGGUUUUUGGAUUUCUUAGCUUGGAAGACGCAUCCUUGGAAGUUCCCGGAAACGCCGGAUUGAAAGACAUGGUUCUUGCACUUAAAUGGGUUCAAAAAAAUAUCAAAAAUUUUGGUGGGGAUCCAAAUAAUGUUACCAUUUUUGGUGAAAGUGCGGGUGGAGCUGCUGUUCAUUUUUUGUAUCUUUCUCCUAAAACUAAAGGGCUGUUUCAUAAAGCGAUAGUUCAGAGUGGAAGUGCCUUAAACCUGUGGGCUCGGGGUUGUAGCAAUGCUUUGGAAAUUGCUAAAAAUCUCGGGUAUAAAGAAACAGACGAAAAAAAUAUAUUGGAAUAUUUGAAAUCUUUGCCAGCGAAAAAAAUUGUGGAUGCACAACUUAAAACUCCCGAUCCGUUUAAUGCUUCCACAAUACGACCAUAUGGACCAGUUGUUGAAAAAAAUGUUACAGAUAGUUCUUUUUUGACUGAAGAACCUAUUGAUAUUAUUAAAUCUGGCCGAUUUAAUCAUGUGCCACUAAUUACGGGGUACACAUCUAGAGAAGGAAUGCUUUUUGAACUUAUUAAAUUAGGGCAAAAAGAGGCGAGUGACCUUAAUUUGGAAAACGAAAUUUACUAUGAUUUAAAUCUAGAAAGGGGAUCCGAAAAAUCCCAAAAAAUUGCAGCCUCCAUUAAAGAAAAAUAUUUUGACAAUAAAGAACCAACAGAAAAUGACUUGGACAAAGUGUGGAAACUCAAGACAGAUGUUUCUUCACGGAAUUUACAGAAGUGUCUCCAGUCAAAAACAAAUCAGUAGUGAACCCAUUUAUUUCUACAAAAUAACUCUAAAUACCCAGUUAAAUAUUCUCAAGAAUACAGUUUGUUCCAAUCACCUUUACCUUUUAAUAUCUUUAUACUUUCUGGUAUCAAAAUUUGCUUUCAGUAAAACCUAUCCACGGCACAUGUCAUGGUGACGAUCUGUUUUACCUUUUUAACUCAAUUUGGAACGGAAAACUUGAACCAAAAAGCGAAGAAGAGAAACAUGUGCAGAAGUUUGUUAAGUUGUGGACAAAUUUU
RNA transcript from Tribolium madens (black flour beetle), 1586 nucleotides. It is a transcript of the gene named esterase B1-like, with no coding region annotated. NCBI's taxonomy places the organism in Eukaryota, Metazoa, Arthropoda, Insecta, Coleoptera, Tenebrionidae. The transcript is spliced from 7 exons. The record is from RefSeq and is a predicted model, not a curated record.